Molecule: ribosomal RNA, 529 nt
Filed under: Bifidobacterium longum subsp. suillum
Lineage: Bacteria; Bacillati; Actinomycetota; Actinomycetes; Bifidobacteriales; Bifidobacteriaceae
Description: bacterial SSU rRNA
Rfam family: Bacterial small subunit ribosomal RNA
Source: RNAcentral
GGGUGGUAAUGCCGGAUGUUCCAGUUGAUCGCAUGGUCUUCUGGGAAAGCUUUCGCGGUAUGGGAUGGGGUCGCGUCCUAUCAGCUUGACGGCGGGGUAACGGCCCACCGUGGCUUCGACGGGUAGCCGGCCUGAGAGGGCGACCGGCCACAUUGGGACUGAGAUACGGCCCAGACUCCUACGGGAGGCAGCAGUGGGGAAUAUUGCACAAUGGGCGCAAGCCUGAUGCAGCGACGCCGCGUGAGGGAUGGAGGCCUUCGGGUUGUAAACCUCUUUUAUCGGGGAGCAAGCGUGAGUGAGUUUACCCGUUGAAUAAGCACCGGCUAACUACGUGCCAGCAGCCGCGGUAAUACGUAGGGUGCAAGCGUUAUCCGGAAUUAUUGGGCGUAAAGGGCUCGUAGGCGGUUCGUCGCGUCCGGUGUGAAAGUCCAUCGCUUAACGGUGGAUCCGCGCCGGGUACGGGCGGGCUUGAGUGCGGUAGGGGAGACUGGAAUUCCCGGUGUAACGGUGGAAUGUGUAGAUAUCGGGA